UACGUAGGGUGCUAGCGUUGCUCGGAAUCACUGGGCGUAAAGCGCACGUAGGCGGCUUGUUAAGUCAGGGGUGAAAUCCUGGAGCUCAACUCCAGAACUGCCUUUGAUACUGGCGAUCUCGAGUCCGGGAGAGGUGAGUGGAACUGCGAGUGUAGAGGUGAAAUUCGUAGAUAUUCGCAAGAACACCAGUGGCGAAGGCGGCUCACUGGCCCGGUACUGACGCUGAGGUGCGAAAGCGUGGGGAGCAAACAGG
RNAcentral lists this ribosomal RNA (253 nucleotides) under uncultured bacterium. RNAcentral describes it as "partial 16S ribosomal RNA". It matches the Rfam family "Bacterial small subunit ribosomal RNA", at positions 524 to 776 of the family's 1533-position model. The record is from RNAcentral.